GAUGAACGCUGGCGGCGUGCCUAAUACAUGCAAGUCGAGCGAACAGACGAGGAGCUUGCUCCUCUGACGUUAGCGGCGGACGGGUGAGUAACACGUGGAUACCCUACCUAUAAGACUGAGAUAACUUCGCGAAACCGGAGCUAAUCCCGGAUAAUGUAUUGAACCGCAUGGUUCAAUAGUGAAAGACGGUUUUGCUGUCACUUCUAGAUGGAUCCGCGCCGCAUUAGCUAGUUGGUAAGGUAACGGUUUACCAAGGCAACGAUGCGUAGCCGACCUGAGAGGGUGAUCCGCCACACUGGAACUGAGACACGGUCCAGACUCCUACGGGAGGCAGCAGUAGGGAAUCUUGCGCAAGUGGCGAAAGCCUGACGGAGCAACGACGCGUGAGUGAUGAAGGUCUUCGGAUCGUAAAACUCUGUUAUUAGGGAAGAACAAAUGUGUAAGUAACUAUGCACGUCUUGACGGUACCUAAUCAGAAAGCCACGGCUAACUACGUG
Molecule: ribosomal RNA, 497 nt
Filed under: uncultured bacterium
Lineage: Bacteria
Description: partial 16S ribosomal RNA
Rfam family: Bacterial small subunit ribosomal RNA
Source: RNAcentral